This 554-nucleotide ribosomal RNA is filed under the name Ptilostomis semifasciata. Its description in RNAcentral is "SSU rRNA". It matches the Rfam family "Eukaryotic small subunit ribosomal RNA", at positions 602 to 1125 of the family's 1831-position model. The record is from RNAcentral. Lineage: Eukaryota; Metazoa; Arthropoda; Insecta; Trichoptera; Phryganeidae.
UACUAAAGUUGUUGCGGUUAAAAAGCUCGUAGUUGAAAUUGUGUCCUGCGGUGUCGGUCUACCGAAUGCGGUACGACAGGCACGUCUGCGGGGCUUCUCGCCGGUGCGUCCACCGCCGGCGUGCGUCGGUCGGCCUCACGGUCGGCCGCGCACCGAGGCGGGCCGUCGCGGCUGUUUACUUUGAACAAAUUAGAGUGCUCAAAGCGGGCUAACACUUGCCUGAAUAUUGUACGCAUGGAAUAAUAGAAUANGACCUCGGUUCUGUUUUGUUGGCUUUCUGAUACCAGAGGUAAUGAUUAAUAGGGACAACUGGGGGCAUUCGUAUUGCGACGUUAGAGGUGAAAUUCUUGGAUCGUCGCAAGACGGACUAAAGCGAAAGCAUUUGCCAAAGGUGUUUUCAUUAAUCAAGAACGAAAGUUAGAGGUUCGAAGGCGAUUAGAUACCGCUGUAGUUCUAACCAUAAAUGAUGCCAGCCAGCGAUCCGCCGAAGUUUCAUAAUUUUAACCCGGUGGGCAGCUCCCGGGAAACCAAAGCUUUCGGGCUCCGGGGGAGUA